GUUUCCGUGGUGUAGUGGUUAUCACAUUCGCUUCACAAGCGAAAGAUCACCGGUUCGAAACCGAGCGGAAACA
This 73-nucleotide transfer RNA is filed under the name Loxodonta africana (African savanna elephant). RNAcentral's name for it is "tRNA-Val (CAC) (tRNA-Val-CAC-20-1)". It matches the Rfam family "tRNA". From Rfam's summary of the family: Transfer RNA (tRNA) molecules are approximately 80 nucleotides in length. Their secondary structure includes four short double-helical elements and three loops (D, anti-codon, and T loops). Lineage: Eukaryota; Metazoa; Chordata; Mammalia; Proboscidea; Elephantidae. The record is from Rfam by way of RNAcentral.